CAGUACUGUUGCAUCUUCCUGGAGAUAGAGCCUGAGAACCAGGAGGUUUUCUAUAGUGAAGAGCUCCGUACAGGAAGAUCCCCAAACAAAUCCUGCUCUUGGAAAAGGCCAAGUUGGUUUCAUCUGUACACCUCUGAGCCCAGCUGGCCCUCCUGGCCCCCAUCGGGUGCCUCUGCUUUCCUGCAGUGCUUCAGCUAACCCUGGUUCCUCUGCUGUGCAGCUCAUCAGCUGGAUCGUGGUGCGCUUCUGGGGCUCGUAAAUUGAGCUGCUGCUCUCAACAUUUGGCAAGCAUGAGCCCAGACUGUCUGUUGUUGCACUGGGAGAGAAUCUGCGUGGGUUUCCCUACAGUCACCCUCAUGCCCUGGGUGAAGAUUCCUGUCAGAACACAAGAAUUUGUCCAAAAAAAAAAAAAAAAAAAAAAAAAAGUAUUACAGAAACUGCUUCUCCUCUGGUCACCAUAAAGGACCCUUCCCAAUCUCAGGCCUGUUUGCUGUGGUUGGACUUCACUGUCCCCAGGGAGCAAAACCUUGUAUCCCAGAAGAGGCUGAUUGACACCAGCUGACAACCUGGCCAUGCUGCUUCCAAAAAAAAUAAAAAAUAAAAAACCUAACAAAGGCACUGCUCUAUUUUAAGCUGCAAAUAAUUCACUUUUAUAUUGGUGAGAAAUUCCUCAUCACUCAUUUAGUUACGUGGGUCUAAAAGAAACCAUACUGUUUUGGCAUGCCUGUGUGCUGGGAGUGGGAAAGAAGGGGGGUGUCAGAACCCUUCCAGAAGUUUUUGUCCUUUCUUACCAUGGUGGUUUUGCCCUGCCAAAUCUGCACAGACCUAUAUAUAUCCAAAAGCUAAGGCGGGAUGGAGAUUCCUUAAUGCCUGCAAAAGAAGCAAAUAUAAAGGCAGUAUUUUUUUGUUCCAGUGGCAUUUAUAUGUUGUCAUUAACUCUGCUUUAACUGUUGUAGUUUAAAGCUUUCAGAAAACAUAGCUUCAGCAGCACCAACUACCACAUGUUUUUGCUGACAAGAGAUGCAGGGUUUGCCUGGACAGCCCAUGUAGUUUCUCUGCCUUUUCCAUAGUAUUCAAAAACCUGGAGAGGAAGAGAUCCCAUUGAGCAAACAAUCAUUAUUGCUGUUCGUUUGCCAUUUUUGGCAACGUAGGCCCUAGUGUAGCAUCAGAGAAUCCUUAGAGUUGGAAGGGACCUCUGAAGGCCACCUAGUCCAACACCCCUGCAAAAGGCUGCACCCUUGCUAGAUUAAGAGCUGUAUAGCUCAAGUCUCUUAUUCCAGUCACUGGGACUUUG
Tympanuchus pallidicinctus (lesser prairie-chicken) is the source of this 1294-nucleotide long non-coding RNA. RefSeq lists it as uncharacterized. The transcript is spliced from 3 exons. The record is from RefSeq and is a predicted model, not a curated record. Lineage: Eukaryota; Metazoa; Chordata; Aves; Galliformes; Phasianidae.